Molecule: ribosomal RNA, 571 nt
Filed under: uncultured Cellulomonas sp.
Lineage: Bacteria; Bacillati; Actinomycetota; Actinomycetes; Micrococcales; Cellulomonadaceae
Description: bacterial SSU rRNA
Rfam family: Bacterial small subunit ribosomal RNA
Source: RNAcentral
ACUCCUACGGGAGGCAGCAGUGGGGAAUAUUGCACAAUGGGCGCAAGCCUGAUGCAGCGACGCCGCGUGAGGGAUGAAGGCCUUCGGGUUGUAAACCUCUUUCAGCAGGGAAGAAGCGAAAGUGACGGUACCUGCAGAAGAAGCGCCGGCUAACUACGUGCCAGCAGCCGCGGUAAUACGUAGGGCGCAAGCGUUGUCCGGAAUUAUUGGGCGUAAAGAGCUCGUAGGCGGUUUGUCGCGUCUGCUGUGAAAACCUGAGGCUCAACCUCGGGCUUGCAGUGGGUACGGGCAGACUAGAGUGCGGUAGGGGUGACUGGAAUUCCUGGUGUAGCGGUGGAAUGCGCAGAUAUCAGGAGGAACACCGAUGGCGAAGGCAGGUCACUGGGCCGCAACUGACGCUGAGGAGCGAAAGCAUGGGGAGCGAACAGGAUUAGAUACCCUGGUAGUCCAUGCCGUAAACGUUGGGCACUAGGUGUGGGGCUCAUUCCACGAGUUCCGUGCCGCAGCAAACGCAUUAAGUGCCCCGCCUGGGGAGUACGGCCGCAAGGCUAAAACUCAAAUGAAUUGACGG